GGAAGGAUGUCAGAGCGGCCGAAUGAGUACACUUGGAAAGUGUGUGUACCUUUGGGUACCGUGGGUUCGAAUCCCACUCCUUCCACCA
Molecule: transfer RNA, 88 nt
Filed under: Abyssogena phaseoliformis symbiont OG214
Lineage: Bacteria; Pseudomonadati; Pseudomonadota; Gammaproteobacteria
Also listed under: 1 other name
Description: tRNA-Ser
Rfam family: tRNA
About the family: Transfer RNA (tRNA) molecules are approximately 80 nucleotides in length.
Source: RNAcentral